Molecule: ribosomal RNA, 2513 nt
Filed under: Candidatus Rokuibacteriota bacterium
Lineage: Bacteria; Candidatus Rokuibacteriota
Description: partial 23S ribosomal RNA
Rfam family: Bacterial large subunit ribosomal RNA
Source: RNAcentral
UCAAUAAAGCACAUAGAGGAUGCCUUGGUAGAUUCAGCUGAUGAAGGACGUAGUAGGCUGCGAUAAGCGCCGGGGAGCCGCCAACAGGCUUUGAUCCGACGAUUUCCGAAUGGGGAAACCCGCUAUGGUAAACCCAUAGCAUCGGCUCAGAUUUGGAGGUUAUGUAGCAUGGAAUUCAUUCUUGUGGAGCCGGGAGAAGGCGGACAAUCUUUCGCUUAUCUCUUUUCUGCCCCUAAUAUCGAUUCGGCGAAGGAUUGUCUGAAGGACAUUCCGAUUGCAAUGAGUGUCCGCUUGGGCGGAUACCCUAUAGAAGUCAAACUCUAUCGGAUCGCCGAAGAGGUUGGCUCAUUGUCCGAAAUGCGAGUGGCUACCGCCAUCCGCAGGAAGGUCAAACCAAGAUGGAAUAGCCGAACCGCCACCACAUAGAACUGGAAACCGGGGCUUGUCCGCAAGCCCCUCCAAAUCUGAGCCGAAAGGCACCCGGGGAACUGAAACAUCUUAGUACCCGGAGGAAAAGAAAGUAGUAACGAUUCCCCCAGUAGCGGCGAGCGAAAAGGGACCAGCCCAAACUCCAGCACCGAAUCUUGGGCGUAAGCGGUAAACAGGCGAUUCUAUAAAAUAACGAAUCUAGCCUCUUAAAAUUUGUUUAUGUUUGCGUCCGGGAUUUGGUGUUGGAGGGUUAUAGGGCAGUAUUAGGGAAUACCCGAGUUGAAGUUUGUGUUAGCAGAAGGAUCUUGGAAAAGACCACCGUAGAGGGUGAAAGUCCCGUACGCGAAAACUCAAACCAAAUUUGAAUACUGUUCCUGAGUACGACUGGACACGUGUAAUCCAGUCGGAAGGUCGGGUGAUCGUGCCCGAAGGCUAAAUACUGAAUCUAACCGAUAGUGAACAAGUACCGUGAGGGAAAGGUGAAAAGUACCCAGAGUAUGGGAGUGAAAUAGUACCUGAAACUAUGUGCUGAUAAGGAGUCGGAGCGUGCUUUGCACGAAGACGAGAUAAUUUUUGAAAUGAAGGAGGGAGCGGCCUAACCGCUCCAGCGCACCCCGUGGUGCGUACUGUGGGAACGACACUGGCCUGGUCUGUGGAUAAGGCACUGUCGUUCUGUCUGUGGGCUGGAGAAAUCCAGCCGUCUGUGGUCUCGCUGCAGCGAGAUGUAUCCUGGAGGCCAGCCACCCAAUCGGGUAGGCUGGCCCAUUCCUCCUUCAUUUCAAAUCAUGAGUUAUAGUUUUCGUGCAAAGCAUGUGACGGCGUGCCUUUUGAAGAAUGAGCCAACGAGUUAAUCUAGUUCCCAAGUGUAAGGAUUUAUGAUCUGAACGCGAAGCGAAAGCGAGUGUUAAUAGCGCGAUUUAGGGGAUUGGAUUAGACCCGAAACCGGGUGAUCUUGCCAUGAGCAGGCUGAACUCUGGAGAAAUCCAGUAGGGAGGGCCGAACCCACCGUUGUAGCAAAAACGGGGGAUGACUUGUGGUAAGCGCUAAAAUAGCAAUCGAACCCGGAGAUAGCUGGUUCUCGCCGAAAUAUAUAUAGGUAUAGCGCGCAAUUGCAUGGUGUGGGGUAGAGCACUGACUGGCUCCCGGGGACGCAAGUUCUCGGCGCCAAACAAACUCCGAAUACGCACCGUUAGGAUUGCGCAGUCAGACUGUGCGGGCUAAGCUGCAUGGUCAAAAGGGGAAUAGCCCAGACCUAAAUCUAAGGUCCCUAAAUUCUGGUUAAGUGGAAAACGAAGUGAAGAAGCGUAGACAACUUGGAUGUUGGCUUAGAAGCAGCCAUCAUUUAAAGAAAGCGUAACAGCUCACAAGUCGACCCUACGUUGUUCUACAACGCCUUUGCGAAAGCGAGGGUUGCGUAGGCAACCUCUAGGCUUCUUCGCGCGGAAAAUUCAACGGGGCUCAAACCAGGUACCGAAGAUUAGGAUGGUUGUACUUUGCACGAAGAUUAUAUGCGUGACUAGCCGGCAACAUUGCCGCUCACUAGUCGCGAGUACGCUAAACGUUUGCAACAAUAUUGCCGGCCGUUUAGUGAGCAAUCUUCGAUUCAGAUUUGGAGGGUGAUAUGUGGGUCGUUUUAAGCGAACGGCGGUUGAUUCCAGAGGAGAUUCUGGAAAAUAUUGAACGGUUAGCCAAACAGCGUCAGAUUCUCAUUUGCUGGAUCCGCGAUGAUGCCGAGAAUUCGGCCAUCGUAGCGCUGGCGACUGACUGUCAGGAGCGUAAUGGCCAGCGAUUUGUUCAAUAUAUCGUCUUCGAGGGAGACUCGAUCGGCAUACGAUCAAGAUGUCUCUCCGUGACCGAUCUAAAAACAUAGUGGUGAGCACGGGUUCGCCACUCCAAAUCUGAAUCGAAGAAACGAAUAUGUAGUUUUCGUGCAAAGUACAGCCGUGGUAGGCGAGCGUUCGUAUCGGGGUGAAGCAGGAGCGUAAGCGACUGUGGACUGAUACGAAGUGCGAAUGUUGGCAUGAGUAACGAAAUGGAAGUGAGAACCUUCCACGCCGCAAAUCCAAGGUUUCCACAGCAACGAC